UACGGAGGGAGCAAGCGUUGUUCGGAUUUACUGGGCGUAAAGGGCGCGUAGGCGGUCAGCACAGGUCAGUUGUGAAAUCUCCGGGCUUAACUCGGAAAGGUCAACUGAUACUGUGCGACUAGAGUGCGGAAGGGGCAACUGGAAUUCUCGGUGUAGCGGUGAAAUGCGUAGAUAUCGAGAGGAACACCUGCGGCGAAGGCGGGUUGCUGGGCCGACACUGACGCUGAUGCGCGAAAGCCAGGGGAGCGAACGGG
This 254-nucleotide ribosomal RNA is filed under the name uncultured bacterium. RNAcentral's name for it is "partial 16S ribosomal RNA". It matches the Rfam family "Bacterial small subunit ribosomal RNA", at positions 524 to 776 of the family's 1533-position model. The record is from RNAcentral.